This 433-nucleotide ribosomal RNA is filed under the name uncultured bacterium. RNAcentral describes it as "partial 16S ribosomal RNA". It matches the Rfam family "Bacterial small subunit ribosomal RNA", at positions 29 to 507 of the family's 1533-position model. The record is from RNAcentral.
AACGAACGCUGGCGGCAGGCCUAACACAUGCAAGUCGAGCGAGGACUUCGGUUCUAGCGGCGGACGUGUGAGUAACGCGUGGGAAUUUGCCCUUCUCUACGGAAUAGCCCUGGGAAACUGGGAGUAAUACCGUAUACGCCCUAUUGGGGAAAGAUUUAUCGGAGAAGGAUCAGCCCGCGUUGGAUUAGGUAGUUGGUGGGGUAAUGGCCUACCAAGCCGACGAUCCAUAGCUGGUUUGAGAGGAUGAUCAGCCACACUGGGACUGAGACACGGCCCAGACUCCUACGGGAGGGAGCAGUGGGGAAUCUUAGAGAAUGGGGGCAAACCUGAUCUAGCCAUGCCGCGUGAGUGAUGAAGGCCUUAGGGUUGUAAAGCUCUUUCAGCUGGGAAGAUAAUGACGGUACCAGCAGAAGAAGCCCCGGCUAACUCCGUG